This 42-nucleotide transfer RNA is filed under the name Ophiopogon japonicus. Its description in RNAcentral is "partial tRNA-His". The record is from RNAcentral. Lineage: Eukaryota; Viridiplantae; Streptophyta; Magnoliopsida; Asparagales; Asparagaceae.
GCGGAUGUAGCCAAGUGGAUCAAGGCAGUGGAUUUGUGAUCC